This 84-nucleotide ribosomal RNA is filed under the name Enterococcus casseliflavus. Its description in RNAcentral is "partial 16S ribosomal RNA". It matches the Rfam family "Bacterial small subunit ribosomal RNA", at positions 1 to 84 of the family's 1533-position model. Lineage: Bacteria; Bacillati; Bacillota; Bacilli; Lactobacillales; Enterococcaceae. The record is from RNAcentral.
AUUAUGAGAGUUUGAUCCUGGCUCAGGACGAACGCUGGCGGCGUGCCUAAUACAUGCAAGUCGAACGCUUUUUCUUUCACCGGA